RNAcentral lists this ribosomal RNA (445 nucleotides) under uncultured bacterium. RNAcentral's name for it is "bacterial SSU rRNA". It matches the Rfam family "Bacterial small subunit ribosomal RNA", at positions 354 to 796 of the family's 1533-position model. The record is from RNAcentral.
GUAGGGAAUAUUGGGCAAUGGAUGCAAGUCUGACCCAGCCAUGCCGCGUGGAGGAAGAAGGUCCUCUGGAUUGUAAACUCCUUUUUUGGGGGAAGAAUAGUUCUCUUGCGAGGGAAUGUGACGGUACCCUAAGAAUAAGCCACGGCUAACUACGUGCCAGCAGCCGCGGUAAUACGUAGGUGGCAAGCGUUGUCCGGAUUUAUUGGGUUUAAAGGGUGCGUAGGUGGUUUGAUAAGUCAGUGGUGAAAGCUGGUUGCUCAACAAUCAAGUUGCCAUUGAUACUGUCGGACUUGAGAGAAGUGGAGGUUCAUGGAAUGGAUGGUGUAGCGGUGAAAUGCAUAGAUAUCAUCCAGAACGUCGAUUGCGAAGGCAGUGGGCUGUACUUUAUCUGACACUGAGGCGCGAAAGCGUGGGGAGCAAACAGGAUUAGAAACCCGAGUAGUCC